UACGUAGGGGGCUAGCGUUGUUCGGAAUUACUGGGCGUAAAGGGCUCGUAGGCGGCCAACUAAGUCAGACGUGAAAUCCCUCGGCUUAACCGGGGAACUGCGUCUGAUACUGGAUGGCUUGAGGUUGGGAGAGGGAUGCGGAAUUCCAGGUGUAGCGGUGAAAUGCGUAGAUAUCUGGAGGAACACCGGUGGCGAAGGCGGCAUCCUGGACCAAUUCUGACGCUGAGGAGCGAAAGCCAGGGGAGCAAACGGG
This 253-nucleotide ribosomal RNA is filed under the name uncultured bacterium. Its description in RNAcentral is "partial 16S ribosomal RNA". It matches the Rfam family "Bacterial small subunit ribosomal RNA", at positions 524 to 776 of the family's 1533-position model. The record is from RNAcentral.